This is a long non-coding RNA of Myxocyprinus asiaticus (Chinese sucker), 3388 nucleotides long. RefSeq lists it as uncharacterized. NCBI's taxonomy places the organism in Eukaryota, Metazoa, Chordata, Actinopteri, Cypriniformes, Catostomidae. The record is from RefSeq and is a predicted model, not a curated record. The transcript is spliced from 3 exons.
UUCCUUCAGUUCUAGCUCAAAGCUCACUAGUCUAAUCAGAUUCUUGACCAAAACUAAUGUGAAAAGAUUGUUUCCCAGUACAGAGGGAGGAAAAUGUAAUUCCAAGAUCAUUAUAGAAACAAAAGGAUUCAAUUCUUUUGGUGAUUUUCACCAGGAGGGCAACUCGGGACACAUUGCAGCUGUGCAUGCGUCACAUCGCAUUUUGUACAUAUCCAAGUGCUCAAGAAAGUAGUAUUUGACAUCACAAGAAAAGGAAAGUUCGAAUUGAAAUAUGGAAGUGAUUUCAGGGCUUAGGGAAAAUGUCUGUCACUGUGACCGUUCUGUGGACCACGAAGCCAUUAUUUCCAGUCUAAUAAAAGCCAACAGGUUGCCUGUUAAAGCCUGUAGACUGAUUUUCAUGCGAAGGGAGCGGGCCGCUUUUGCCGGGAAAAUCCAAAGGAUGUGACAUUUAUGCACGCUGCCGAGAGCCUUGCCUCAGUGCUUCCGCUAUUCAACAGUGACAACAAACUGCAACACUAGGUAACGUUAUCUUAGAGAUGGAAUCCAGCAAACAUCCGGCUCCCAGCACAACACCGACUCCUACACAAACUCAGAGAAAGCCACAAAAAAAAACAACAUUCCCGUCUGGCUAAGCCGAAACGUGAUCGUGGUCAAGCAAAAACUAGAGUGAACAUCGGCAGGACAUUUGAUUCCUGGAGGGACCUUCGUUCGGUUUUGGGGAUCAAAACCGACCCUGAAUUGGCGUUCUUUUAUUGGACACGUAAGCUUACAAAACUGCAAAGCAUGUGAACUAUAGUGCCAUAAGGACUGAUCUGUGUAUUUUAGCUAACUUGAUCUUGCCUGCUAACCCUGACGAAUUGCAAGCUACCUUCCUUCGUAACUUUGAAAUAAUUUCAAUGAUCUUCUCUUUAUACUAAAAGUCAGGUUAAUGUCAAUGCCAAUCUGUAAUUAUUCAGCAAGGUAAACUACAGUAAUACAUUAAAUGAAUGCUAGAUAAUGUUCAAGAUAAUGCAAAAAGCUCCAUUCAUUAGUGUAACGUAACUUAGUUAUACAGAAAAUAUAUACAUUCUAUUAUUAUAAAACAAUAGCGCAUCGAUAUAUCAAAAUGACAGUUGAAUUGUGUCAACGUAUUUAUAAUGUACAGUCUAUUUUAUAAACAGCUACUGUCAUCAUCCACCAAAUUUAGCUAACAGCUAUUAAUAAAGCUGGCUAGCUAGCUAACGUCGACAUAGGCUAUCGUAUAAAUGCCGUCAAUGUAUCAUGCAAAGAAAAGUGAUUACUUCAAACUACAGUCUCACAUAGUCAGACCUAUAUCCACACUUUGUUUUAGCCCUGUUCCAGCACUGGAGAGUCAAAUAUAACAUACAGUCUCAAAGUUUGUAGUAAAACAAUCAUAACUGUGUAUUUUAAUUAUGCUAACUCAUCUGUCACCAUCAAGCCAGUGAAUCACAUUCAGUCUCUUUAUUUUGUUCCCUGUGGAGUGCGCGCGAUCACGAGCUACAGGCUACAGUUCACUUAACGGCCACAGGUGUCAUUAAUAACAAGGGUUUCUGAAUCUUACAUACUGCACUUUUAAAAUGCAGAAAAUAGUAGUAAUAAAGAAUGAGUAGGUGUGUCCAAACAUUUGACUGGCUGUGUAUCACAGACAAAAGGGCAAUUCUUUGCUGUUUGGGUGAUGACAAGACACUAUGCAGUAGAUUCAAGUAUGAAUUUAAUUUCUUUCUUUACUGGUCUGACAACUUUAUUUGGAUUGUAUAUAAGCUACAAGGUUGGACUGAAAUUAGCCAAUGACUCAUCAAGCCCUUUUCUGGCAAGCUAUUAGAAAAUUCCAGUCAUUCUAGAGAGGAAAUAAACAUAUGUGUUCCUGACAUUAAACAGUGAAUUCCAUACUGGUCCAAAUCUCGAGUUCUCUUCAAUAUGUCAUGUGAAGAAGAGUAGCUAAUCAUGGGGACAUGUACUGUACUUCCUCAUGAAAUGAAAGAAUAAGAGCCAUUAUGAUGAUCUGGCAGAGGAUGAUGGCUGUCAUAGUAACACCCAGACCCAGACUAAUAUCAGACCUCUCAAGACCCAGACCUAGAUCAAUAACAGCCCCCCAAUACACAGACCAAUUCCAGACCUCCUAAGAUCCAGACCAAUACCAGUACUAGACCCUCUAAGACCCAGACCACAAUGAAUACUAGACCAAUACUAGACCUCCUAAGACCCAGACCUAAACCAAUACCAGACCCCCUAAGACCCAGAAUAAAAACAACACCAAACCCCCUAUGACCAAGACCAAUUCCAAACCUUUUAAGACCCAUCCCCAGACCAAUACCAGUCCCCCUAAGACCAAAACCAAUACAGACCUUCUAAGACCCAGACCAAUACCCCAGUGCCCCUCAGACCCAGAAUCAGAUCAAUCCCAGACCCUCUAAGACACAGACCCAAACCAAUACCAGAUCCCCCAAGACCCAGACCAAAACCAGACCACCUAAAACCCAGGCCUAGAUCAAUACCAGACCCCCUUAGACCCAGAUCAAUACCAGAACCUUUAAGACAAAAACCCAGACCAAUACCAGAUCCCACAAGUCCCAGACCAAUACCAGACCCCCAAAACCCAGACAUAAACCAAUCCCAGACCCCUUUAGACCCAGAUCAAUACCAGACCCUUUAAGACCCAGACCAGAUCCCCCAAGAACCAGACCUAGAUCAAUACCAGACCCCCUUAGACCCAAAUAAAUACCAGAUCCUUAAGACCCAGACCCAUACCAAUACCAGAUCUCCCCAAACCCAAACCAAUACCAGACCCCCAAAACCCAGACAAAUACCAGGCCCCCAAAACCCAGAGUGUGUUAGCGGGGGCGUGGUCAAGCGUCCGUCCGGAGAAAGCGGUAAGGGUGCUUGCAUCUGAGCUAGAUUAUGUUUAACACCUGUCUCUAAUUCCAGUGAGCAUGGGGAGAGCGGCAUAUAAGCAGCCACGCCACCAGCAGAGAGUAGAGAGAAUCUGGCACAAGGAAGGCCACGAUGCUCCUGAAGCUGAAGCUGUUAUGUUUAAUCUGUUAUAUUUGUGAAGCUGGUGUGUUUAAGUGACUACGUGCCUGUGAAGCUGAUGAGUUUGUGAAGUUGUAAAGCACUGAAGUGGCCGAUUAAAAGUCCUACCUGAGCCUGAAAAACCUGCUUCCCUGUGUUUUCCUUCCCUUCUGCUGUGAAGCUGUUCUACACAGACCAAGAUCAAUACCAAACCCCCUUAGACACAGACCAAUACCAGACCUUCUAAGACACAGACCAACAUCAGUACCCCUAAGACCCAGACUCAGAUCAGUACCAGACCCUCUAAGAACCAGGCCUAAACCAAUACCAGAUCCCCCAAGACCCAGAUUAAUACCAGACCCCCUUAAACCCAGAUCAA